UACGUAGGGAGCAAGCGUUGUCCGUAUUUAUUGGGCGUAAAGAGCUCGUAGGCGGUUCGGUAAGUCGGGUGUGAAAACUCUGGGCUCAACCCAGAGAUGCCACUCGAUACUGCUGUGACUUGAGUCUGGCAGGGGAGCACGGAAUUCCUGGUGUAGCGGUGAAAUGCACAGAUAUCAGGAGGAACACCGGUGGCGAAGGCGGUGCUCUGGGCCAGUACUGACGCUGAGGAGCGAAAGCGUGGGGAGCGAACAGG
RNAcentral lists this ribosomal RNA (254 nucleotides) under uncultured bacterium. Its description in RNAcentral is "partial 16S ribosomal RNA". It matches the Rfam family "Bacterial small subunit ribosomal RNA", at positions 524 to 776 of the family's 1533-position model. The record is from RNAcentral.